GAUGAACGCUGGCGGCGUGCCUAAUACAUGCAAGUCGAGCGAACAGAUGAGGAGCUUGCUCCUCUGACGUUAGCGGCGGACGGGUGAGUAACACGUGGAUAACCUACCUAUAAGACUGGGAUAACUUCGGGAAACCGGAGCUAAUACCGGAUAAUAUAUUGAACCGCAUGGUUCAAUAGUGAAAGACGGUUUUGCUGUCACUUAUAGAUGGAUCCGCGCCGCAUUAGCUAGUUGGUAAGGUAACGGCUUACCAAGGCAACGAUGCGUAGCCGACCUGAGAGGGGGAGAGGCAAAACGGGAACUGAGACAGGGGCCAGACCCCUAGGGGAGGGAGGAGGAGGGAAUCUUCCGCAAUGGGCGAAAGCCUGAGGGAGAAACGCCGGGGGAGGGAUGAAGGUUUGCGGAUCGGAAAACUUUUUUAUUAGGGAAGAAAAAAUGGGAAAGUAACUAUGCACGUUUUGACGGUACCAAAACAAAAAGCCACGGCUAAAUAAGU
Molecule: ribosomal RNA, 496 nt
Filed under: uncultured bacterium
Lineage: Bacteria
Description: partial 16S ribosomal RNA
Rfam family: Bacterial small subunit ribosomal RNA
Source: RNAcentral